Long non-coding RNA from Hemicordylus capensis (graceful crag lizard), 1172 nucleotides. RefSeq lists it as uncharacterized. NCBI's taxonomy places the organism in Eukaryota, Metazoa, Chordata, Lepidosauria, Squamata, Cordylidae. The transcript is spliced from 4 exons. The record is from RefSeq and is a predicted model, not a curated record.
UGGGAGCUCUAAUCUUAAAUGCAUGCGGGAUGGCUGUGAGGAGAAAAUCUACACAUGCUCAAAGGUAUCUCUCACUACUAUUAAUUCAGAUUUUUCCAGACUGAACCAUAGUUCAAAUGAGGAUUUGCUUAAAUCUUUGUUUACAUGACAUUUUCAGUGGGAACGUUUUUUUUCUGAGAAGUGAGAUCUCAGUCAUUAUGAGUCCUUGUGACGCUGCUUCUUUUCUGUUUUUCUGAGCUAAGGACAAGACUAAACAUUGGUAAAGAGGCCAUCUUCCUUUUGCUUUGGCACACCAUAGGAACAGGGAGAGGCUCAAGCACUUCUUUCCUUGAUGCCUGCAGACUGAACUAUGACAAGGUCUGAGAAUUUGUGUUCCAGAAACACAGGAGGUGUGCAAUAGAAAAAGCCAUACUAACAAUAAAUGUUAUCCACCUGAGGUCUAUCGCUUGUUUUGCGGCCAAAGGGUUUUCUGAAAGGCUCAUCCCAGUUUACAAACAUUUUAUUGAAGCCUUUUUAACCUUACUGUGAACUCAGAAGCCACACAAGCCUGAAGUUUAAGGUAAUGACAUCUGGUUUACCAUUAUGGGAGGAGAGCUGGCAGGAGCGUAACAAAGUUGGAGUGGGCCCAGAGACAAGAUUUUAAAAUGGGCCCCUCGCUGCCUUCCUCUCCUUCUCCUGGACCCGUGUCUCUGCUGCAGAAGAACAUUAAGGACACGUGUUAUAUAGUGAAGCAGAUUAACAGACAACACAAACUGUCAUCUGAAUCCACGCCAAAAUAUAUGGACCAAAUGAUGGGGGGUUGUUCUCAAACCCAAUAAAACAAUUUGCAAAAUAUGGGAAAGGCAACUUGUAGAAAUUACAUGCUGGGGCUAUUCUCACGAUUGCGGAAAAUCCAGCUAGCUUCCACUAGCCCGAUUUUCUGUAAUCGUGAGAACCACUGGGCUCGGCUGCAACCUGGGUAGUUCUAGAGCGGGUAACCCGCUCAAGUACCCCUGCCCUUCGCAAAUCUGGUUUUGAAGAUUGUGAGUAGCCACAGCUCCACACUGUGCCUACUUACGAGGAGGCCCCCGCAGGGGAGGCAAAAAGCCACCUCCCAGCUCCGGGGGUCUCGUCAGCAUGCCCUGCGUGCUCGCGCAGGGCAUGCUGGAGCUUCCGGGGACCGAUCGGCCCCC